Molecule: ribosomal RNA, 484 nt
Filed under: uncultured bacterium
Lineage: Bacteria
Description: partial 16S ribosomal RNA
Rfam family: Bacterial small subunit ribosomal RNA
Source: RNAcentral
AUUGAACGCUGGCGGCAGGCCUAACACAUGCAAGUCGAGCGGAUGAAGGGAGCUUGCUCCUGGAUUCAGCGGCGGACGGGUGAGUAAUGCCUAGGAAUCUGCCUGGUAGUGGGGGAUAACGUCCGGAAACGGGCGCUAAUACCGCAUACGUCCUGAGGGAGAAAGUGGGGGAUCUUCGGACCUCACGCUAUCAGAUGAGCCUAGGUCGGAUUAGCUAGUUGGUGGGGUAAAGGCCUACCAAGGCGACGAUCCGUAACUGGUCUGAGAGGAUGAUCAGUCACACUGGAACUGAGACACGGUCCAGACUCCUACGGGGGGCAGUAGUGGGGAAUAUUGGACAAUGGGCGAAAGCCUGAUCCAGCCAUGCCGCGUGUGUGAAGAAGGUCUUCGGAUUGUAAAGCACUUUAAGUUGGGAGGAAGGGCAGUAAGUUAAUACCUUGCUGUUUUGACGUUACCAACAGAAUAAGCACCGGCUAACUUCGUG